UACGGAGGGUGCAAGCGUUAAUCGGAAUAACUGGGCGUAAAGCGCGCGUAGGUGGUUAAGUCAGUCAGAUGUGAAAGCCCCGGGCUCAACCUGGGAACUGCACCUGAUACUGCUUAGCUAGAGUACGGUAGAGGGAAGUGGAAUUUCCGGUGUAGCGGUGAAAUGCGUAGAGAUCGGAAGGAACACCAGUGGCGAAGGCGACUUCCUGGACUGAUACUGACACUGAGGUGCGAAAGCGUGGGGAGCAAACAGG
RNAcentral lists this unclassified non-coding RNA (253 nucleotides) under uncultured Oceanospirillales bacterium. Its description in RNAcentral is "contains 16S-23S intergenic spacer region". It matches the Rfam family "Bacterial small subunit ribosomal RNA", at positions 524 to 776 of the family's 1533-position model. The record is from RNAcentral. Lineage: Bacteria; Pseudomonadati; Pseudomonadota; Gammaproteobacteria; Oceanospirillales.